RNAcentral lists this transfer RNA (78 nucleotides) under Dipodomys ordii (Ord's kangaroo rat). It matches the Rfam family "tRNA". Rfam says of the family: Transfer RNA (tRNA) molecules are approximately 80 nucleotides in length. Their secondary structure includes four short double-helical elements and three loops (D, anti-codon, and T loops). Further hydrogen bonds mediate the characteristic L-shaped molecular structure. tRNAs have two regions of fundamental functional importance: the anti-codon, which is responsible for specific mRNA codon recognition, and the 3' end, to which the tRNAs corresponding amino acid is attached (by aminoacyl-tRNA synthetases). tRNAs cope with the degeneracy of the genetic code in two manners: having more than one tRNA (with a specific anti-codon) for a particular amino acid; and 'wobble' base-pairing, i.e. permitting non-standard base-pairing at the 3rd anti-codon position. The record is from Rfam by way of RNAcentral. Lineage: Eukaryota; Metazoa; Chordata; Mammalia; Rodentia; Heteromyidae.
GGGAAGGUGGCUCAGGGGUAGAGCGCUUGCCUUGCAUGCAAGAUGCCCUGGGAGGCCCUAGGUUCGAUUCCUCACCCA